ACGUUGCGACCUGUCAAAUAAUAUCCUAAGUAUUUGGCUAAUUUGUCUGUUUUUAGGCAGUACUGAAAGGUAUUUCCUUUAACAGUUUUAGCCGUUAACAUACUGGAUAUAAUUGACAGUAACGAAUCAUGGUGUUGAGCCACUUACUUUGUAAGUGUCCUUUAUGGCUGUUUGCAAGUGGGUUGGUUAAUUAGUUUUAGUCGGAUUUUGGUCCGUCUAACUAUUCCGCCUACUGUUGGUAAACUGUUCCUUGGACAGUGCUUAUAACACCGGUCGGCAGCGAUUCAGGUUCAGGCUCUUAUCCGACCCGUCUUGAAACACGGACCAAGGAGUUUAGCGUGUACGCAAGUCAUUGGGUGUAUAAAACCCAAAGGCGCAAUGAAAUU
This 386-nucleotide ribosomal RNA is filed under the name Triatoma matogrossensis. RNAcentral's name for it is "eukaryotic LSU rRNA". It matches the Rfam family "Eukaryotic large subunit ribosomal RNA", at positions 433 to 726 of the family's 3401-position model. The record is from RNAcentral. Lineage: Eukaryota; Metazoa; Arthropoda; Insecta; Hemiptera; Reduviidae.